This 253-nucleotide ribosomal RNA is filed under the name uncultured bacterium. RNAcentral's name for it is "partial 16S ribosomal RNA". It matches the Rfam family "Bacterial small subunit ribosomal RNA", at positions 524 to 776 of the family's 1533-position model. The record is from RNAcentral.
UACGUAGGGCGCAAGCGUUGUCCGGAAUUAUUGGGCGUAAAGAGCUCGUAGGCGGCUUGUCACGUCGGGUGUGAAAGCCCGGGGCUUAACCCCGGGUCUGCAUUCGAUACGGGCAGGCUAGAGUGUGGUAGGGGAGAUCGGAAUUCCUGGUGUAGCGGUGAGAUGCGCAGAUAUCAGGAGGAACACCGGUGGCGAAGGCGGGUCUCUGGGCCGAUACUGACGCUGAGGAGCGAAAGCGUGGGGAGCGAACAGG